Molecule: ribosomal RNA, 1069 nt
Filed under: uncultured eukaryote
Lineage: Eukaryota
Description: SSU rRNA
Rfam family: Eukaryotic small subunit ribosomal RNA
Source: RNAcentral
CAGUUUAACCAACACACCAGGGGCCGCAGGGGAAAGCUCGUUCAAGAAUAGCCUGCAGGUGCGUAAAGAGAAUGUACAUUCAACUGCGGAUGGCUUACAAAACAGCCAUAAUUUCUUCGGGAAAAUACUACUCCUAUAUCCGUAGUAAUUCUAGAGCUAAUAGUGCCAACGCGAAGUUUCUUCGUGGUACUUAUUAUAGAUACAAACCAAUUUUUUUUGGUGCAUCACAAUAAUUUUUCUGAUCGCAUUCGUGCGACACCCCGUCAAAUUUCGACCUAUCAACUUCGGAUGGUAAGGUAGUGUCUUACCAGGUUGUGACGGGUAACGGACCGUGGGUGCGGGAUUCCGGAGAGGGAGCCUGAGAAACGGCUACCACCAUCCAGGAAGGCACAGGCGCGUAAAUUACCCAAUCCGCACCGGGAGGUAGUGACAAGAAAUAGCAAUAGGGGGCCCAAUGGGCUUCCUAAUUGGAAUGAGAACAAGAUAAACGGCUUAUCGAGGAGCCAGCAGAGGGCAAGUCUGGUGCCAGCAGCCGCGGUAAUUCCAGCCGUAAGCGUAUACCAAAGUUGUUGCAGUUAAAACGCUCGUAGUCGAGAUUUUGGCGGGCUCCGCAUUUUCUCCCGUGAGGAUGAUUUUGUGUCGGCCGCCUUUGUGGAUGGGGCUUGAGGUGCUUUAUUGAACGUCUUCCACCGCCACCGUUUACUGUGAAAAAAUUAGAGUGUUCAAAGCGGGCGUUUGCCAUGAAUCAUUAGCUUAAUGGAAUAAUAGAAUAGGACCUGGUCUUAUUCUGUUGGUUUGUUAAGUUCAGGUAAUGAUUAAGAGGGACGGUUGGGGGCAUUUGUAUUCCGGCGCUAGAGGUGAAAUUCUUGGAUUGCCGGAAGACAAACAGCUGCAAAGGCGUCUGCCAAGGACGUUUUCAUUGAUCAAGAACGAAAGUAAGGGGAAUUCGAAGACGAUCAGAUACCGUCGUAGUCUUUACUAUAAACGAUGAGGACUAGGGAUCGGGCGUGGCCAAACAUUUGUACGCUCGGCACCUUCCGGGAAACCAAAGUUUGCUUCGGGGAGAAUU